RNAcentral lists this ribosomal RNA (400 nucleotides) under uncultured bacterium. RNAcentral's name for it is "bacterial SSU rRNA". It matches the Rfam family "Bacterial small subunit ribosomal RNA", at positions 356 to 773 of the family's 1533-position model. The record is from RNAcentral.
GGGGAAUAUUGGACAAUGGGCGAAAGCCUGAUCCAGCCAUGCCGCGUGAGUGAAGAAGGCCUUAGGGUUGUAAAGCUCUUUCAGCGGGGAAGAUAAUGACGGUACCCGCAGAAGAAGCCCCGGCUAACUCCGUGCCAGCAGCCGCGGUAAUACGGAGGGGGCUAGCGUUGUUCGGAAUUACUGGGCGUAAAGCGCACGUAGGCGGACUGUUUAGUCGGGGGUGAAAUCCCGAGGCUCAACCUCGGAAUUGCCUCUGAUACUGGCAGUCUCGAGUCCGGAAGAGGUGAGUGGAAUUCCGAGUGUAGAGGUGAAAUUCGUAGAUAUUCGGAGGAACACCAGUGGCGAAGGCGGCUCACUGGUCCGGUACUGACGCUGAGGUGCGAAAGCGUGGGGAGCAAAC